This is a non-coding RNA of Gossypium raimondii (Peruvian cotton), 107 nucleotides long. NCBI's taxonomy places the organism in Eukaryota, Viridiplantae, Streptophyta, Magnoliopsida, Malvales, Malvaceae. The record is from Rfam.
AAACCAUGCAUUGAGCAUUUUCUACUUAGUUCAUUGAAACGCUCCCAUGCUUCAUAUAAUGUUUCAUCCUCCUAUUGCUUCAAUGAUGUAAUGUCAUUCCUAAGCUU